Molecule: ribosomal RNA, 589 nt
Filed under: marine sediment actinomycete NB151
Lineage: Bacteria; Bacillati; Actinomycetota; Actinomycetes; Actinomycetales
Description: bacterial SSU rRNA
Rfam family: Bacterial small subunit ribosomal RNA
Source: RNAcentral
CCGCGCCGCASUAACGCAUUAAGUGCCCCGCCUGGGGAGUACGGCCGCAAGGCUNAAACUCAAAGGAAUUGACGGGGGCCCGCACAAGCGGCGGAGCAUGCGGAUUAAUUCGAUGCAACGCGAAGAACCUUACCAAGGCUUGACAUGUUCUCGAUCGCCACAGAGAUGUGGUWUCCCCUUUGGGGCGGGUUCACAGGUGGUGCAUGGUUGUCGUCAGCUCGUGUCGUGAGAUGUUGGGUUAAGUCCCGCAACGAGCGCAACCCUCGUUCCAUGUUGCCAGCGGGUUAUGCCGGGGACUCAUGGGAGACUGCCGGGGUCAACUCYNAGGAAGGUGGGGACGACGUCAAAUKAUCAUGCCCCUUAUGUCUUGGGCUUCACGCAUGCUACAAUGGCCGGUACAAUGGGUUGKYAUACUGUGAGGUGGAGCWAAWCCCAAAAAGCCGGUCUCAGUUCGGAUUGGGGUCUGCAACUCGACCCCAUGAAGUCGGAGUCGCUAGUAAUCGCAGAUCAGCAACGCUGCGGUGAAUACGUUCCCGGGCCUUGUACACACCGCCCGUCAAGUCACGAAAGUCGGUAACACCCGAAGCCG